RNAcentral lists this unclassified non-coding RNA (350 nucleotides) under uncultured fungus. RNAcentral describes it as "sequence contains ITS1, 5.8S rRNA gene". The stretch from base 302 to 350 matches the Rfam family "5.8S ribosomal RNA", at positions 1 to 49 of the family's 154-position model. Lineage: Eukaryota; Fungi. The record is from RNAcentral.
UCUCCGUUGGUGAACCAGCGGAGGGAUCAUUGUAGAGUUUAUUCUUUUAACUCUUUAACCCUUUGUGAACUUAUUCCGUUCUGUUGCUUCGGCAGGCGGGUGCUGGUAGAAGAACGCUUGUGUAAGUGCGGCUCCGUUAGGGGCGGCUUAUACGGCGGUCUUUAGGCGCCCCGCUUUUGGCCCCUUUGGGGUGUCUGCCGGAUGCCAUAUAGGCGCUGAUUUUAUAACCUGUGUAAAGAAAACCCCUAAAAAGGUUGGAUAUUACUGUUUAUUUUCAGAAACAAAAAACAAAUCAAAUUACAACUUUUAGCAAUGGAUCUCUUGGUUCUGACAUCGAUGAAGAACGCAGC